UGUAGGAUAAAAAAAAAUGGAAAAUAUCGUUGGAAGGUACUAGUAUCUCUCUACUAGCUAGUAAGUAGCUUACCUAGUAGCUGUCCUACCACAAAACCCUCUUCGUUCCCUACUCUUCCCUCCCAAGAACGAUUUUUUAGCGAUCGGCGAUAUUUCCGGCAUCCCCCGUCUACUGUUCUCCGGACGAGCUCCCGUCUACUGUCUGUGUUUUCGACUUUCACCGCGUUUAAAAAUAUCCGUCACUGUCCUCCAUUCAACCGGAAGAACAUUCAGAACAUUCAUUCCCAAAAACCCCGGUACGUCCUGUAUUAAAAAAUAAAAACUCAUUUCUUUCUGCGACUUCUAGUUUAUGAUGUGAUAUAGGGGUGAAGUGGAAACCGGUUUGAUGCGUUGGUAGUUUCGAGAAGACUUCCGAGGAGGCAUCCGGUGAGAAGUUUGAGUAUCAGAGAGAGGUGGGGUAUCUGUAACAAUUUUGAGCAAAAAAAAAAUCUUUUAUGGGGAGGCAAAUGACAAAUUUAAUCUACAGUUUCUUCUCUCCAUUGUUUAACUUUCUUCAUUUCUAGCUUCUUCGUUUUUAAUUUCUCCAUC
Molecule: long non-coding RNA, 588 nt
Filed under: Zostera marina
Lineage: Eukaryota; Viridiplantae; Streptophyta; Magnoliopsida; Alismatales; Zosteraceae
Description: long non-coding RNA (ZMAR_LNC003325)
Source: RNAcentral